GAUGCAUCUACAAGCCAAGGAAUGCCAAGGAUUGCCAGCAACCACCAGAAACUAGGAAGAGGAAAGGAAGGAUAUCCCCUCGCCACUUCGAAGGGAACAUGACUGUUCUGACAUCAUAAUUGCAGACUUCUAGUCCCUUGGAAUCUGAGAAAAAAAUAUUUCUGUUGCUUUAAGCCACCCAGCCCAUUAUACUUUGUUAGGGCAGCCCUAGGAACCCAAUACAGGGGACCUCUUGUCUUACAUCAGGUGAUCACAUUUCAGGUUUCCUCUUCAUGCCAGUUGGCAGAUAAUACCAGUCAACCUCCAGGAAGGCUUUCCUCAAAAUGUCCUGCCACUUCAUUGGGAAGAGAGUGCUGGCGCUAUCUGACUGAACAACCCGGUCGGGGGUUUACCUUUCAUGUAUCCACCCGCUGUUGCCACAGAUUUCAAGUAAUUACUGCAGUGCUGCCCGGACAUGCCAAAUUCCCAGCUACUUUCCCUCAAGCAGGCAGAGAGAUCACCUCAGAUGCAGGAAACAAAGAAGCCACAUUGAGAUUGGACAUCGGAGUGUGCCUCCAGUCAGGGGAAGUCAGGAUACAUGACAACACAAGAGCAAAGUACCAGCACUGCUUGUAUUACGACAAGGUUUCUUGA
Molecule: long non-coding RNA, 633 nt
Filed under: Vulpes vulpes (red fox)
Lineage: Eukaryota; Metazoa; Chordata; Mammalia; Carnivora; Canidae
Description: lncRNA (ENSVVUG00000026334.1)
Source: RNAcentral